ACGGGGGUGGCUGAGCAUGGUUAAAGGCGCCGGGCUUAAGAUCCGGUCCAGAUGGUUCGAGGGUUCGAAUCCCUCCCCCCGUA
RNAcentral lists this transfer RNA (83 nucleotides) under Deltaproteobacteria bacterium. RNAcentral's name for it is "tRNA-Leu". It matches the Rfam family "tRNA". From Rfam's summary of the family: Transfer RNA (tRNA) molecules are approximately 80 nucleotides in length. Their secondary structure includes four short double-helical elements and three loops (D, anti-codon, and T loops). RNAcentral also lists the same sequence under 2 other names. The record is from RNAcentral. Lineage: Bacteria; Pseudomonadati; Myxococcota; Myxococcia.